This 460-nucleotide ribosomal RNA is filed under the name uncultured bacterium. RNAcentral's name for it is "partial 16S ribosomal RNA". It matches the Rfam family "Bacterial small subunit ribosomal RNA", at positions 338 to 795 of the family's 1533-position model. The record is from RNAcentral.
CCUACGGGAGGCAGCAGUGAGGAAUAUUGGUCAAUGGGCGGGAGCCUGAACCAGCCAAGUCGCGUGAGGGAAGACGGUCCUAUGGAUUGUAAACCUCUUUAGGCGGGGAGCAAUGCCGGGCACGCGUGCCCGGAGGGAGAGUACCCGCAGAAUAAGCAUCGGCUAACUCCGUGCCAGCAGCCGCGGUAAUACGGAGGAUGCGAGCGUUAUCCGGUGUUAUUGGGUGUAAAGGGUGCGUAGGCGGAUUUUUAAGUCAGCGGUAAAAUGUCCGGGCUCAACCCGGGCCGGCCGUUGAAACGGGGGAUCUUGAGUGGGCGAGAAGUAUGCGGAAUGCGUGGUGUAGCGGUGAAAUGCAUAGAUAUCACGCAGAACUCCGAUUGCGAAGGCAGCAUACCGGCGCCCGACUGACGCUGAGGCACGAAAGCGUGGGGAUCGAACAGGAUUAGAUACCCGAGUAGUC